Ornithorhynchus anatinus (platypus) is the source of this 687-nucleotide long non-coding RNA. RefSeq lists it as uncharacterized. NCBI's taxonomy places the organism in Eukaryota, Metazoa, Chordata, Mammalia, Monotremata, Ornithorhynchidae. The record is from RefSeq and is a predicted model, not a curated record. The transcript has 4 exons.
GGUUCUCCUGGAGAGUUUUCUCUGUGCAUAGUAAGGCCCAAACUGUGAACAUCAAUCAGUCAGGCCGGUGACAGCCCAAACUGUGAACAUCAAUCAGUCAGUCAAUGUCUUUUUCCAUUGACAAACCUGGAGUGGUAUCUAUAUUGGAAAAAUGAAGACUAUUUCUCAAGAGCUCCAAAUAAUAUGGGACCCAGGUGAUUAACAUCAAAUCACCAGGAAAUGGAUCAAGAUAAAAAAAUGGCAAGGUGUUGCUUCAGACUGAAUAAAAAGGAACAUUGCACACACCACCAUAAUCCCAUGAGAGAAGCUAUAUCCUCCUUCUGCAAUCAGAAUUACUCAGGGAGGAGAUAUUUUACUGGAUGGCACACUGCAGUUUAAAGAAAAAAGAGUUAAAGUGAGCAGAACCUUUUGAACAACACAUUCUUCUGUUACGACUAUCGGAGGGAGUUGGAGCACCGUGUCUCCAUACAGAAUCAGGGCAUUCAGCUCUCCAACACAAGCCAACACGUUUGCACUUUGAAUUUUCCAUCUUUAUACAUUUUAAUAACCAACACAUUAGCAUACUGAGGCAUUUUAUCCCAAACCAGGUGAGAGCUAACUUUUUCCUCUUUUUUUUAAUUUGCAUUCAUUUUAAGUCUCAAAGACAUUUUAACGUUGUGAAAUAUGCAGUUGAGUUAAAUAGACAUU